CCAUUUCAAUAUAUCAUUAUGUAUAUCAAUAUAUCAUGUACCAUCAUUUCCAUGUAUUUCAUGUAAAUAUCUGUAUUAGUUUGUAUCAAACUCAUAUCGUCUCGUAACAGAAUAUUGCCCGUUGAACCAUUUAGAAUAUCGUUGGAUAACUUUCAAAUUCAUUAAAUAAAUCACUUUACCAAGACUUUCCCAAAUCGAAGAACGACUUACGGAUAAGAGUACAUCGUUAACAGAAGCUCAUAAGAGCUGGUCCUCCUAAACACGCCAACAGAAGCUUGUGAGAGCUGAUCCACCCAAAUCACUCCAAACAGAAAGUAAAACACGAGAGUUCGCAACAAAUGCUGAACCUCGGUUUACUUGGGUAAUAUGCUGAUGUCCCCC
This 381-nucleotide long non-coding RNA is filed under the name Gossypium raimondii (Peruvian cotton). RNAcentral's name for it is "long non-coding RNA (GRAI_LNC006748)". The record is from RNAcentral. Lineage: Eukaryota; Viridiplantae; Streptophyta; Magnoliopsida; Malvales; Malvaceae.